GUUGAGCUGGAAGGACAUGUUUUUUCAAAUGUAAUUUAAGAGCCGUGCUUCUUUGAGAGCUUAACAUCUUCACGGAGAAUCCUGUGUGUAAGAUCAGUGUGUGAGGGUAAAGCAGCCAUUCCAUAAAUGGUUGUCUUCAUAUCUGGAAUUCAACAUUGAAUAUUGAAUAUUUAAUAUGUAGCACUAUAAUAAAGUAUAAAACAAC
Dreissena polymorpha is the source of this 205-nucleotide long non-coding RNA. RefSeq lists it as uncharacterized. The record is from RefSeq and is a predicted model, not a curated record. NCBI's taxonomy places the organism in Eukaryota, Metazoa, Mollusca, Bivalvia, Myida, Dreissenidae. The transcript is spliced from 3 exons.